AGCAGCCGCGGUAAUUCCAGCUCCAAUAGCGUAUAUUAAAGUUGUUGCAGUUAAAAAGCUCGUAGUUGAAUUUCGGGGUUAGUAGGUUGGUCAUGCCUCUGGUAUGUACUGGUCUCACUGAUUCCUCCUUCCUGAUGAGCCGUAAUGCCAUUAAUUUGGUGUUGCGGGGAAUUUGGACUGUUACUUUGAAAAAAUUAGAGUGUUUAAAGCAAGCUAACGCUUGAAUACAUUAGCAUGGAAUAAUGAAAUAGGACGUUCGAUCCUAUUUUGUUGGUUUCUAGGAUUGACGUAAUGAUUAAUAGGGAUAGUUGGGGGCAUUAGUAUUCAAUUGUCAGAGGUGAAAUUCUUGGAUUUAUUGAAGACUAACUACUGCGAAAGCAUUUGCCAAGGAUGUUUUCAUUAAUCAAGAACGAAAGUUAGGGGAUCGAAGACGAUCAGAUACCGUCGUAGUCUUAACCAUAAACUAUGCCGACUAGGGAUCGGAUGAUGUUAAUUUUUAAUGACUCAUUCGG
RNAcentral lists this unclassified non-coding RNA (512 nucleotides) under uncultured Glomus. RNAcentral describes it as "SSU rRNA". It matches the Rfam family "Eukaryotic small subunit ribosomal RNA", at positions 569 to 1083 of the family's 1831-position model. The record is from RNAcentral. Lineage: Eukaryota; Fungi; Glomeromycota; Glomeromycetes; Glomerales; Glomeraceae.